RNAcentral lists this ribosomal RNA (253 nucleotides) under uncultured bacterium. RNAcentral describes it as "partial 16S ribosomal RNA". It matches the Rfam family "Bacterial small subunit ribosomal RNA", at positions 524 to 776 of the family's 1533-position model. The record is from RNAcentral.
UACGAAGGGUGCAAACGUUGCUCGGAAUUAUUGGGCGUAAAGCGCACGUAGGCGGCAUUGCAAGUCGGAUGUGAAAUCCCUCGGCUUAACCAAGGAAGUGCAUCCGAAACUGCAGUGCUUGAGUACUUAAGAGGAUCGCGGAAUUCCUGGUGUAGCGGUGAAAUGCGCAGAUAUCAGGAGGAACACCGGUGGCGAAGGCGGGUCUCUGGGCCGUAACUGACGCUGAGGAGCGAAAGCAUGGGGAGCGAACAGG